AGAGUUUGAUNUGGCUCAGAUUGAACGCUGGCGGCAGGCCUAACACAUGCAAGUCGAGCGGUAGAGGGGUGCUUGCACUCCUUGAGAGCGGCGGACGGGUGAGUAAUGCCUAGGAAUCUGCCUGGUAGUGGGGGAUAACGUUCGGAAACGGACGCUAAUACCGCAUACGUCCUACGGGAGAAAGUGGGGGAUCUUCGGACCUCACGCUAUCAGAUGAGCCUAGGUCGGAUUAGCUAGUUGGUGAGGUAAAGGCUCACCAAGGCGACGAUCCGUAACUGGUCUGAGAGGAUGAUCAGUCACACUGGAACUGAGACACGGUCCAGACUCCUACGGGAGGCAGCAGUGGGGAAUAUUGGACAAUGGGCGCAAGCCUGAUCCAGCCAUGCCGCGUGUGUGAAGAAGGUCUUCGGAUUGUAAAGCACUUUAAGUUGGGAGGAAGGGUUGUAGAUUAAUACUCUGCAAUUUUGACGUUACCGACAGAAUAAGCACCGGCUAACUCUGUGCCAGCAGCCGCGGUAAUACAGAGGGUGCAAGCGUUAAUCGGAAUUACUGGGCGUAAAGCGCGCGUANGUGGUUAUGUAAGUUGGAUGUGAAAUCCCCGGGCUCAACCUGGGAACUGCAUCCAAAACUGCAUAGCUAGAGUACGNUAGAGGGUGGUGGAAUUUCCUGUGUAGCGGUGAAAUGCGUAGAUAUAGGAAGGAACACCAGUGGC
Molecule: ribosomal RNA, 712 nt
Filed under: uncultured bacterium
Lineage: Bacteria
Description: bacterial SSU rRNA
Rfam family: Bacterial small subunit ribosomal RNA
Source: RNAcentral